This 371-nucleotide ribosomal RNA is filed under the name uncultured bacterium. RNAcentral's name for it is "bacterial SSU rRNA". It matches the Rfam family "Bacterial small subunit ribosomal RNA", at positions 527 to 896 of the family's 1533-position model. The record is from RNAcentral.
GGAGGGUGCGAGCGUUGUCCGGAAUCACUGGGCGUAAAGGGCGCGUAGGCGGCGCGGUAAGCGUGCGGUGAAAGCCCGGGGCUCAACCCCGGGUCGGCCGUGCGGACUGCCGGGCUCGAGCACUGUAGAGGCGGGUGGAAUUCCGGGUGUAGCGGUGGAAUGCGUAGAGAUCCGGAAGAACACCGGUGGCGAAGGCGGCCCGCUGGGCAGUGGCUGACGCUGAGGCGCGACAGCGUGGGGAGCAAACAGGAUUAGAUACCCUGGUAGUCCACGCCGUAAACGAUGGGCACUAGGUGCUUCGGGGAGCGACCCUCGGGGUGCCGGCGCUAACGCAUUAAGUGCCCCGCCUGGGGAGUACGGCCGCAAGGCUG